AGAGUUUGAUCCUGGCUCAGGAUGAACGCUGGCGGCGUGCCUAAUACAUGCAAGUCGAGCGAACGGACGAGGAGCUUGCUUCUCUGAUGUUAGCGGCGGACGGGUGAGUAACACGUGGAUAACCUACCUAUAAGACUGGGAUAACUUCGGGAAACCGGAGCUAAUACCGGAUAAUAUUUUGAACCGCAUGGUUCAAAAGUGAAAGACGGUCUUGCUGUCACUUAUAGAUGGAUCCGCGCUGCAUUAGCUAGUUGGUAAGGUAACGGCUUACCAAGGCAACGAUGCAUAGCCGACCUGAGAGGGUGAUCGGCCACACUGGAACUGAGACACGGUCCAGACUCCUACGGGAGGCAGCAGUAGGGAAUCUUCCGCAAUGGGCGAAAGCCUGACGGAGCAACGCCGCGUGAGUGAUGAAGGUCUUCGGAUCGUAAAACUCUGUUAUUAGGGAAGAACAUAUGUGUAAGUAACUGUGCACAUCUUGACGGUACCUAAUCAGAAAGCCACGGCUAACUACGUGCCAGCAGCCGCGGUAAUACGUAGGUGGCAAGCGUUAUCCGGAAUUAUUGGGCGUAAAGCGCGCGUAGGCGGUUUUUUAAGUCUGAUGUGAAAGCCCACGGCUCAACCGUGGAGGGUCAUUGGAAACUGGAAAACUUGAGUGCAGAAGAGGAAAGUGGAAUUCCAUGUGUAGCGGUGAAAUGCGCAGAGAUAUGGAGGAACACCAGUGGCGAAGGCGACUUUCUGGUCUGUAACUGACGCUGAUGUGCGAAAGCGUGGGGAUCAAACAGGAUUAGAUACCCUGGUAGUCCACGCCGUAAACGAUGAGUGCUAAGUGUUAGGGGGUUUCCGCCCCUUAGUGCUGCAGCUAACGCAUUAAGCACUCCGCCUGGGGAGUACGACCGCAAGGUUGAAACUCAAAGGAAUUGACGGGGACCCGCACAAGCGGUGGAGCAUGUGGUUUAAUUCGAAGCAACGCGAAGAACCUUACCAAAUCUUGACAUCCUUUGACAACUCUAGAGAUAGAGCCUUCCCCUUCGGGGGACAAAGUGACAGGUGGUGCAUGGUUGUCGUCAGCUCGUGUCGUGAGAUGUUGGGUUAAGUCCCGCAACGAGCGCAACCCUUAAGCUUAGUUGCCAUCAUUAAGUUGGGCACUCUAAGUUGACUGCCGGUGACAAACCGGAGGAAGGUGGGGAUGACGUCAAAUCAUCAUGCCCCUUAUGAUUUGGGCUACACACGUGCUACAAUGGACAAUACAAAGGGCAGCGAAACCGCGAGGUCAAGCAAAUCCCAUAAAGUUGUUCUCAGUUCGGAUUGUAGUCUGCAACUCGACUACAUGAAGCUGGAAUCGCUAGUAAUCGUAGAUCAGCAUGCUACGGUGAAUACGUUCCCGGGUCUUGUACACACCGCCCGUCACACCACGAGAGUUUGUAACACCCGAAGCCGGUGGAGUAACCUUUUAGGAGCUAGCCGUCGAAGGUGGGACAAAUGAUUGGGGUGAAGUCGUAACAAGGUAGCCGUAUCGGAAGGUGCGGCUGGAUCACCU
This 1540-nucleotide ribosomal RNA is filed under the name Staphylococcus aureus W56227. Its description in RNAcentral is "16S ribosomal RNA". It matches the Rfam family "Bacterial small subunit ribosomal RNA". The record is from RNAcentral. Lineage: Bacteria; Bacillati; Bacillota; Bacilli; Caryophanales; Staphylococcaceae. RNAcentral also lists the same sequence under 3 other names.